GGGAGGACGCGGCGCGCGGGAGGCGGCGGUCGCAGGGCGAGCCCCGGGACGCCCCGAGCCGGGGCCGGGGCCGGGGAGAGGGCGCAGCGAGGUGGGGGCCAGUCCAGACCGACGGCAGCGACGGAGCGGGCGGCGGCGGCGGCGCCGGCGGCGGCGGGGUGGCUCAGUCCCCAGUCUCAGACGCGCCGCGCAGCAGGUCGGAGCAGCCUCCCCGGGAGGAUGUCCAGCGGCAGCGCUCCUCGCUCCAGCCCUUGGGGAUCUUCCGCUGAGGCAUUGAAGGCAGGAAGAAGGGGUCCGUCAUCGGCUCGCCGGGCUGCGCGCCACCUCUGCUAUCUUGCGGAAAGAGGAGCGGGCAUACAACUUAGGAUUCAUAACUACAUAUAUACGGAUAGAAGUGCAUGAACAGAAAAUCUGCCCUUCUGGAAUACCAAAUGCAAAAUUAAAGUGACUACAAGCAGAAUUUGGAGAAAAAAAUAAAAGAUGCAAUAUAGUUUUUAAAAUCAUUGUUAAAAUAUAAUGAGUCUGUACUUUGCUUAAACAAUAAAAAAGUCUUCGAUUUAUA
RNAcentral lists this long non-coding RNA (562 nucleotides) under Homo sapiens (human). RNAcentral's name for it is "non-protein coding lnc-TIMM21-5:10". The record is from RNAcentral. Lineage: Eukaryota; Metazoa; Chordata; Mammalia; Primates; Hominidae.